Molecule: ribosomal RNA, 1346 nt
Filed under: seawater metagenome
Description: bacterial LSU rRNA
Rfam family: Bacterial large subunit ribosomal RNA
Source: RNAcentral
AAUAGCUCACUAGUCGAGUCGGCCUGCGCGGAAGAUGUAACGGGGCUCAAACUGGAUACCGAAGCUGCGGAUGUGCACUUAGUGCACGUGGUAGGGGAGCGUUGUGUAAGUCUGUGAAGGUGUGUUGAGAAGCAUGCUGGAGAUAUCACAAGUGCGAAUGCUGACGUGAGUAACGAUAAUGGGAGUGAAAAACUCCCACGCCGAAAGACCAAGGUUUCCUGCGCAACGCUAAUCGGCGCAGGGUGAGUCGGCCCCUAAGGCGAGGCAGAAAUGCGUAGCUGAUGGGAAACGGGUUAAUAUUCCCGUACUUCUUAUAACUGCGAUGGAGAGACGGAGAAGGCUAUGCCUACCGGGCGUUGGUUGUCCCGGGGAAAGGCUGUAGGCUGAGGUGUUAGGCAAAUCCGGCACCUUAAGGCUGAGAGUCGAGACCACUGGUCCUUUGUGACCGGGAAGUGGUUGAUGCCAUGCUUCCAGGAAAAUCUUCUAAGCUUCAGGUUAUAAGGAACCGUACCCCAAACCGACACAGGUGGUUGGGAUGAGUAUUCUAAGGCGCUUGAGAGAACUCGGGUGAAGGAACUAGGCAAAAUUGUACCGUAACUUCGGGAGAAGGUACGCCGCUGACGGUGAUGAGACUUGCUCUCUGAGCUAUCGGCGGUCGCAGUGAAAAGGCCCCUGCAACUGUUUAUUAAAAACACAGCACUCUGCAAACGCGUAAGCGGACGUAUAGGGUGUGACGCCUGCCCGGUGCCGGAAGGUUAAUUGAUGGGGUUAGCUUCGGCGAAGCUCUUGAUCGAAGCCCCGGUAAACGGCGGCCGUAACUAUAACGGUCCUAAGGUAGCGAAAUUCCUUGUCGGGUAAGUUCCGACCUGCACGAAUGGCGUAAUGAUGGGGGCGCUGUCUCCACCCGAGACUCAGUGAAAUCGAAAUCGCAGUGAAGAUGCUGUGUACCCGCGGCUAGACGGAAAGACCCCGUGAACCUUUACUAUAGCUUCACAGUGGACUUUGAACCUGUUUGUGUAGGAUAGCUGGGAGACUUUGAAGCAGUGACGCUAGUCAUUGUGGAGUCGUCCUUGAAAUACCAGCCUGGCAUGUUUGAGGUUCUAACCUAGGUCCAUUAUCUGGAUCGGGGACAUUGUGUGGUGGGUAGUUUGACUGGGGCGGUCUCCUCCCAAAGAGUAACGGAGGAGCACAAAGGUACCCUCAGCACGGUCGGACAUCGUGCAACGAGCGUAAAGGUAGAAGGGUGCUUGACUGCGAGACCUACAAGUCGAGCAGGUGCGAAAGCAGGUCUUAGUGAUCCGGUGGUUCUGUAUGGAAGGGCCAUCGCUCAACGGAUAAAAGGUACU